UGGGGAAUUUUGGACAAUGGGCGAAAGCCUGAUCCAGCCAUGCCGCGUGAGUGAAGAAGGCCUUCGGGUUGUAAAGCUCUUUUAGUCGGAAAGAAAAGAUCAUAAUGAACAAUAUGAUUCAUGACGGUACCGACAGAAAAAGCACCGGCUAACUACGUGCCAGCAGCCGCGGUAAUACGUAGGGUGCGAGCGUUAAUCGGAAUUACUGGGCGUAAAGGGUGCGCAGGCGGUUUUGUAAGUCAGAUGUGAAAUCCCCGGGCUUAACCUGGGAAUUGCGUUUGAAACUGCAAGACUAGAGUGCAGCAGAGGGGAGUGGAAUUCCAUGUGUAGCAGUGAAAUGCGUAGAGAUGUGGAAGAACACCGAUGGCGAAGGCAGCUCCCUGGGUUGACACUGACGCUCAUGCACGAAAGCGUGGGGAGCAAACA
Molecule: ribosomal RNA, 426 nt
Filed under: uncultured beta proteobacterium
Lineage: Bacteria; Pseudomonadati; Pseudomonadota; Betaproteobacteria
Description: bacterial SSU rRNA
Rfam family: Bacterial small subunit ribosomal RNA
Source: RNAcentral